RNAcentral lists this unclassified non-coding RNA (272 nucleotides) under Hevea brasiliensis (rubber tree). The record is from RNAcentral. Lineage: Eukaryota; Viridiplantae; Streptophyta; Magnoliopsida; Malpighiales; Euphorbiaceae.
CAGGAUUUCUUGUUUCGGAUGGGAUUGGUUCAUUGGUUCUAUUGUGUUUGGCUGUAUCGGUGAUUUGGUGUCUGGAAUUUGCAUUUGGGGUUCUUUCCUUUAUGUGGGUUUGGCUUCUGCAAGUGUAAAACCUUUUCUUAGAAAUUAGAACAAACCUUUCCUUUUUGGGAAAGAGCGCUAGGGGGAUUUUUUUCAGGUGUAGAUGGUUCUGUUGACAUUGAUGAGGGCAUAGUUUAUCUCUGCUUGUAAUUUCUACUUUUAAUUUAGGCCCG